Molecule: transfer RNA, 69 nt
Filed under: Onychogalea unguifera (northern nail-tailed wallaby)
Lineage: Eukaryota; Metazoa; Chordata; Mammalia; Diprotodontia; Macropodidae
Description: tRNA-Arg
Rfam family: tRNA
About the family: Transfer RNA (tRNA) molecules are approximately 80 nucleotides in length. Their secondary structure includes four short double-helical elements and three loops (D, anti-codon, and T loops).
Source: RNAcentral
AGGUAUUUAAUCUAAUUAAGAUAUCUGAUUUCGACUCAGCCUAUCAUGGUUCUAAACCAUGAAUACCUU